GGUCUGUCUGCCGGUGGCGGCAGUACGUCACUGGUUCUAAACACAACAAGGCGCCGACAUGAAAGAUGUCGCUGCCGGUGCGAGCGUAGCGGCGCCUGCUGCCCGCCUCUGACCGGAGAACCGUGUCCGCUCUCCCUCCCGGGGGCGGGGACAUGUCGGUGGUGACGGUGCAGCUCGGUCAGUGCGGUAACCAGGUGGGUCACGAGCUGUUCGACGUCGUCUGCGGUGACGCUCAUGACGGACAGAGGAGAAGUUACUGCAGCGUCAGCCGGGAGCGCUUCUUCCACCAGACCGAGCGUGGAGACCUGGUGGCCCGGGCGGUGCUGAUCGACAUGGAGCCCAAAGUGAUCAAGCACAGUAUGAACAAGGCGGCGAACUCCGGCAGGUGGACGUACGGAGACGACGCCCACUUCAGCCAGAAGCAGGGCUCCGGAAACAACUGGGCCAACGGGUUCUGUGUCCACGGGCCUCGUCACGAGGCGGCGCUGGAGGAGCUGGUAAGACGACAGGUGGAGCGCUGCGAUCGACUGUCCGGCCUCAUGGCCAUGAUGAGCGUCGCCGGGGGAACGGGCUCCGGGGUCGGCACCUACGUGACCCAGUGUCUCCGGGACACCUUCCCCAAGUCCUUCAUCGUCAACCAGCUCACCUGGCCGUACGGGACCGGGGAGGUGAUCGUCCAGAACUACAACUCGGUGCUCACGCUGGCUCACCUGUACGGGCUGUCCGACGCCAUCCUGGUGCACGAGAACGACACGGUGCACGGGAUCUGCGCUCGGCUGCUCAACCUCAAGCACAUCUCCUUUGGCGACGUCAACCGGGUGAUCGCUCAUCAGCUGGGCGCCGUGCUGCAGCCGGCGCUCACCACCGACUCCCACGGGCUCUACAGCAGGAAUCCUCUGGGUGAGCUGGCGAGCGCCCUGGUCUGCCACCCGGAGUACAAGCUGCUCAGCAUGAGCACCGUCCCGCAGAUGCCGAGCGCCUCCAUCGCCUACAGCACGUUCAGCUGGCCGGGGCCGCUCCGACACCUGAGGCAGAUGCUCGUCUCCAACAGCAAGAUGGAGGAAGGUAUCGACUGGCAGGUGCGUCUGCCCGCGGCCUCCGAGCGGAGCAGGAGUCUCACGGGAGGAGGAAGAGGAGGAGGAAGAGGAGGAGGAGGAGCGGCAGCGGCGGCCAUCUUUAACAGGUCUCUGGCCAACCUGCUCAUCCUGAGGGGGAAAGACGUCUACAGCGCAGAGACCGGCGGCUUUGAGGACCCGGCCCUGUUCACCUCCUGGCUGUCGCCACGAGACGCCUUCAGCUUGUGGAAAUCCCCGGUGCCUUUCAACAAAUAUGAAAAAUCGGCGACGCUGGUCAGCAACAGUCAGGCUCUGCUCAGGCCUCUGGACGACAUGGUGAGGAAGGCCUGGAACAUGUUCGCCUCCAGAGCUUACAUCCACCAGUACGUUAAAUUCGGAAUCUCGGAGGAAGACUUCCUGGACAGCUUCACGUCUCUGGAGCAGGUCAUCUCCAGCUACAGUCAGCUGAGCUAGUGAAGAGGGAAAAACUCAACAAGCGUGUAUGAUGAUCGCUCAUCAGCAGCUCAUCACAAUGAUCAAACUGUAUAACCAGAAACUUGGAUGAAAUAAAAGAAGACGGUCGUCGUGACCACGUGGACCAGCUGGAGGUUCGGUCUUCGUACUACAGUCGCCAUGAUGAGUUGAAGGUGACGGAGGGAGGCCCACGGCGUCAGCCAGCCUACAGACCGCUGUUGCCAUGGUAACAUAACAGCCAACACCAGUCUGAUAAGCUAGCUGACGGCGCGGGAACGCUUCACACUCCUGAGAGAAUCUGAGAAUUCUUCAGAGGGAGGAUUUGGGAGGAAGUCUGCAUCGGCAAAGAGAAAAAAAUGGAAAAUUUAGCUGCAGCGAUUAAGGACAUAAUAACUUAAUUUACAUAAAGUUAUGAGAGUCGAGCUGUUCACUUACCUUAGAGACGACCUCGUCUGAUGUGGUGAAUAAAUAUAAUACGCUCGUAAACAUU
This is an RNA transcript of Scophthalmus maximus (turbot), 2019 nucleotides long. It is a transcript of the gene named tubulin, delta 1, with no coding region annotated. The transcript has 9 exons. The record is from RefSeq and is a predicted model, not a curated record. NCBI's taxonomy places the organism in Eukaryota, Metazoa, Chordata, Actinopteri, Pleuronectiformes, Scophthalmidae.